GACGAACGCUGGCGGCGUGCUUAACACAUGCAAGUCGAACGCUGAAGCUCAGCUUUUGUUGGGUGGAUGAGUGGCGAACGGGUGAGUAACACGUGAGUAACCUGCCUCCUUCUUUGGGAUAACGCCCGGAAACGGGUGCUAAUACUGGAUAUUCACUGGUCUUCGCAUGGGGGUUGGUGGAAAGGGUUUUUCUGGUGGGGGAUGGGCUCGCGGCCUAUCAGCUUGUUGGUGGGGUGAUGGCCUACCAAGGCUUUGACGGGUAGCCGGCCUGAGAGGGUGACCGGUCACUUUGGGACUGAGAUGCGGCCCAGGCUCCUCCGGGGGGCGGAAGUGGGGAGAAUGGCACAAUGGGCGCGAGCGUGAUGCAGCGACGCCGCGUGAGGGAUUGGGGCCUUCGAGUUGUGAACCUCUUUCGCUCAUGGUCAAGCCGAAACAAUGGUUGUGGUGAGGGUAGUGGGUAAAGAAGCGCCGGCUAACUACGUG
RNAcentral lists this ribosomal RNA (483 nucleotides) under uncultured bacterium. RNAcentral's name for it is "partial 16S ribosomal RNA". It matches the Rfam family "Bacterial small subunit ribosomal RNA", at positions 28 to 507 of the family's 1533-position model. The record is from RNAcentral.